This 864-nucleotide ribosomal RNA is filed under the name Ophioceras commune. RNAcentral describes it as "LSU rRNA". It matches the Rfam family "Eukaryotic large subunit ribosomal RNA", at positions 54 to 947 of the family's 3401-position model. The record is from RNAcentral. Lineage: Eukaryota; Fungi; Ascomycota; Sordariomycetes; Magnaporthales; Ophioceraceae.
AGGAAAAGAAACCAACAGGGAUUGCCUCAGUAACGGCGAGUGAAGCGGCAACAGCUCAAAUUUGAAAUCUGGCCCUCGGGUCCGAGUUGUAAUUUGCAGAGGAUGCUUCGGGCGAGGCUUUGAUCGAGUCCCCUGGAAUGGGGCGCCACAGAGGGUGAGAGCCCCGUAUGAUCAGCCGCCGAACCCGUGUGAAGCUCCUUCGACGAGUCGAGUAGUUUGGGAAUGCUGCUCUAAAUGGGAGGUAAAUUUCUUCUAAAGCUAAAUACCGGCCAGAGACCGAUAGCGCACAAGUAGAGUGAUCGAAAGAUGAAAAGCACUUUGAAAAGAGAGUUAAAAAGCACGUGAAAUUGUUGAAAGGGAAGCGCCUAUGACCAGACUCGGGCUCUUGGGAUCAUCCGCCCUUCUGGGCGGUGCACUCCCUCGUUCUCGGGCCAGCAUCGGUUCUCCUCGGGGGAUAAAGGCGCCAGGAACGUGGCUCCCUUCGGGGAGUGUUAUAGCCUGGCGCGUCAUGCUCCGGGGGGGACCGAGGACCGCGCUUCGGCAUGGAUGCUGGCGUAAUGGUCACCGGCGACCCGUCUUGAAACACGGACCAAGGAGUCAAGCAUUAGGGCGAGUGUACGGGUGUAAAACCCGAACGCGCAGUGAAAGCGAACGCUGGUGAGAGCUUCGGCGCAUCACCGACCGAUCCUGAAGUCUUCGGAUGGAUUUGAGUAGGAGCCUUAACGCUUGGACCCGAAAGAUGGUGAACUAUGCCUGAAUAGGGUGAAGCCAGAGGAAACUCUGGUGGAGGCUCGCAGCGGUUCUGACGUGCAAAUCGAUCGUCAAAUUUGGGCAUAGGGGCGAAAGACUAAUCGAACCAUCUAG